GCGGAAGUAGCUCACCCGGUAGAGCGACAGCUUCCCAAGCUGUAGGUAGCGAGUUCGAGUCUCGUCUUCCGCU
This 73-nucleotide transfer RNA is filed under the name Chitinophagaceae bacterium. RNAcentral describes it as "tRNA-Gly". It matches the Rfam family "tRNA". Rfam says of the family: Transfer RNA (tRNA) molecules are approximately 80 nucleotides in length. Their secondary structure includes four short double-helical elements and three loops (D, anti-codon, and T loops). Further hydrogen bonds mediate the characteristic L-shaped molecular structure. tRNAs have two regions of fundamental functional importance: the anti-codon, which is responsible for specific mRNA codon recognition, and the 3' end, to which the tRNAs corresponding amino acid is attached (by aminoacyl-tRNA synthetases). tRNAs cope with the degeneracy of the genetic code in two manners: having more than one tRNA (with a specific anti-codon) for a particular amino acid; and 'wobble' base-pairing, i.e. permitting non-standard base-pairing at the 3rd anti-codon position. Lineage: Bacteria; Pseudomonadati; Bacteroidota; Chitinophagia; Chitinophagales; Chitinophagaceae. The record is from RNAcentral.